Myodes glareolus (Bank vole) is the source of this 328-nucleotide long non-coding RNA. RefSeq lists it as uncharacterized. Lineage: Eukaryota; Metazoa; Chordata; Mammalia; Rodentia; Cricetidae. The record is from RefSeq and is a predicted model, not a curated record.
UUGACCCACACAGAGCUUAUCCAUUGUUUCUUAUACAGAGAAUAACUGGAAUUCUUUCUGUCCAGCUCACCGCCUACCCCACGGCAGCUCUCUGCCCCAACUCCAGUGGGGCUGGCCACACCAGUCAGGAAAACAGAGAUCCCUGCUGCAUCAAAGGCCAACCCAGCUACCAGAUGUCCAACCCCCAACUUGGACAGAGACUCGCUGCUGGAUCAGAGGUCAAAGGAGUCACCACCAGAAAUCCAGGCCACAAAGACCAGAAGACCAAAGAAGAAACAGAAACCAAGUAACAAAACACCCAUUCAAUAAAGAUAAACUCAUAAAUCAA